CGCAUCUUGCGCUUGCUGGUAUUCCGGCAAGCAUGCCUGUUUGAGUGUCAUGAAAAUUAUCAACCAUGACUUGGGUUUAGGCCCUUGUUCUUGGCUUGGAUUUGGGUGCUUGCGGUCUUGUGCUGCUCACCUUAAAAGGAUUAGCUGGACAUGUCUAUUGACUUGGUUCUACUUGGCGUAAUAAGUAUUUCGCUGAGGACAUCCCUUCUGGGGUGGCCAAGACUCUGGCAAACGUCUGCUUUCUAACCUGACUGUCUUCGGACAUCACUUUUAUGAUCUGGCCUCAAAUCAGGUAGGACUACCCGCUGAACUUAA
Molecule: unclassified non-coding RNA, 315 nt
Filed under: Cryptococcus sp. (in: basidiomycete fungi)
Lineage: Eukaryota; Fungi; Basidiomycota; Tremellomycetes; Tremellales; Cryptococcaceae
Description: Cryptococcus sp. (in: Fungi) partial contains 5.8S ribosomal RNA, internal transcribed spacer 2, and large subunit ribosomal RNA
Source: RNAcentral